Molecule: long non-coding RNA, 2017 nt
Organism: Rhinolophus ferrumequinum (greater horseshoe bat)
Lineage: Eukaryota; Metazoa; Chordata; Mammalia; Chiroptera; Rhinolophidae
Exons: 3
Source: RefSeq, a predicted model, not a curated record
AAAGAGAAGCCCGGAGAGGCUGAAGUUUCCGCGGAGGGCACCGUCGGGGAGACGCAGCCCGGGAGGACGGAAGGGUUGGGCUCGCUACCUCUGCACACCGGCGAGCCGGGGCUCCUUCUCUCAGAGCAAAACUACAAUUAUUUAAGUUGAAAGCCCAGAACAUUUGAAAUGCCAAUCAACCAGGAUCCCCACUUCACGACGCUCCUGGUCAGGAUACAAGCAGCUAGAACACAGGUAUGCAAAGGUGAUGAGGGAGAAGAGAGGACGCUGACAGAGGGACACAAAGAUGGCAUCCAGGAUGAAAGGACUCACAACCUGUUUGGUACGUAGAACAGGUAUUGCAGUUCCACUUUAUACAUGAAGAAAAUGAAGCUGAGAGAAUGGCUUUCCCAAAAUGCUUGGCUAGCUAGGACUUGAAUCCAGAUCUCUUGAUUCUAAUUCCAGUAAUCAGAAUUUCCAGUAAUUUCCACUGCAUCACGUUGCACUAUACCUUUAACGCUCUCAUGUCCAUUCUUACCUUAAAACCUGGCCUUGGACAGUUUCUUAAUUGCUAUUGUACCUUGCCAAUCCACCCUACACGCUCCUCUAUUCACCUUCCCAAACCCAACUGUGCUCAUGCUCUGUAGAGGAUGGAGUCUGCAUAAGAGUCUCGUGCACCCGAGGGCUCAGUUUGCAAACAGAAACACCAACGCUCAAGCUGCAGCCAUGUUUGCCAUUUAGUGAACUCAGGCCUGCUUCUGUUUUCUUAGGGCCUCUAGUGAGGAAAGACACAAGGAAUGAGGAGAGAGCAGCCACCAGAAAGGGAGGGAAAUGACGGUUGGGGUUUCUGGAAAACACCUAAGAUAGAGCUGCAAGGCUAGAAACAGCUAGAGCUUUGGCAUUAUUAUUCCCUGCACAACCCCUCCCUCCAUUCAGCUUUCCAAAUUCCCCUAACUGAAAUAAAGCCCAAGAGUCUUCCCUAGAAAAUCAUCAGUACAUGAUAAACUCUUAGAGCAAACCUAAACCUGGCACCUUUGUUUUAUCUAGGGUGAAAUCUUUGCUUUUUAGUGUGCUGGACAAUCAGUAUAAAAUCUUACCAUGGGUGAGUGUCUGGUACAAAUAUUCGUUACUUGUGAACACAAUAGUUAUUUUAAAAAUUCAGCUCCCUCUGACCUUAAGUUUUUUUGCUACUGUAGACUGUGAUGCAAAUUAAGGCAUGUCUAUUCUUAUUUCAAAGUCUGCUGCAUAAAAUAAGUGUAUGCUUUUCAAAGCAAUUGACAGCCUAAUGCUCCACAUUUAACUACAACAAAUCAACACUUCGCCGGUUUAUUUCAUUAUUAUUUAACUAAUUCAUUUAAAAAUUUAUCAAGAAAAAAAUGUAAAUUUCAUAGUUUCUGGUCUUAAAAAAGAUAAUUCUAAUGUUGCAAAUUAUAUGCAAAGCAGUUUCAAUAUUGUUUUUCUACAAAAGAUCACGAAAUUUUUUAAAUGCAUUAAAGUUAACAUAAAUAUAACUGUGCAGUUCCUUAUUUUGAAAGCAGCUCUCUCAUAAGCUAAAUCAUCCUCAAACUUGUACUUUUUUGCAUUGGUUACAAAAAUAAUUAUUCUGUGGUAGAGCAUCUUAUAUUUCCUAGAACUGAACAAUAUUGUGAAACAGCAAAAUCUUGCAGACCAGAAUUACAGUGGUAUUUCUGCCUUUAAGUAUUAAAGAAAAAAGUCUAAAUUUAAGGUGACCCCCCCCACCCCGUCCCCCUUUCUAAGGGCUUCUUCUGUUAUAUUUAAUCCACUUUCACACAGUUUUUCUUAAUUACACUACAGCUGUAUGGUAAGGCACAACUGACCACUUCCGUCAUGAAAACAAACUGUACCCCACCAUCCAAAGUUCUUGAUUAAAAAGCAAAUGUUUUUGUGAGCCCAGAGAAAACGGCGCAGCUGCUCCAUUUCACGAGGCAGGCACCUCCACUCCAUUCAGCUGUGAAGAAUGGCAAUGACUGUAAAUUGUUCUUCCUGAUCGGUUCCACAAUAAAAACAAACCACACUA